Carassius auratus (goldfish) is the source of this 859-nucleotide long non-coding RNA. RefSeq lists it as uncharacterized. Lineage: Eukaryota; Metazoa; Chordata; Actinopteri; Cypriniformes; Cyprinidae. The record is from RefSeq and is a predicted model, not a curated record. The transcript is spliced from 3 exons.
AGAGGGCUUCUGAAGGGCAAAUGUAAAGCCCAGUGAGCUGCUGUCAGCCUUGCUGCAGGGGGAGAUGUUGAAGAACGCCAGAGCAGAGACGUCCCACUCCUCGUCCCAUUGUUCCUGUCACUUCACUCCCGGAGGCACUGCCUUUCUUACCUUCAGAGUCUAAAUACACAGGACCCACCAUUCUUCACGCUCAGCAUCCAGAGCAGCUUCAAUCAAAUCUUCAACCACUGUUGUGUAAUACAUUUUGUGAAUGUAGGAAUAAGACUGAUGGAGAGAGAGAGUAAGAAUGACAGUGACACAUCUCUGAGGAAAAAGAAAGCCUUCCCUUUUUCCUCAUACCCGGAAACUAAAUAUAAGUCACUACUUUCCCUUACUGCUUUCAUCCAUGUCCAGUUAGCAGACUGGCGAGAGGUGCUCCAAAAACAUGAGAGGGAAAGUGUUUUUUUUGGGCAUAUGCUGAGAGCUAAGGCUAAUGUAGGGGCCAUUAUUUAGCCUGGCCUGACAUUGUCCACAUCUAUAGUCCCCAGCGUGACUGGCUGUCUGCACUGCGAUUACAACAUCAACACACAGGGCUUGGGCGGUUGUGCUGCAAUCACUGUGGAAGCCUUUAACUCAUAGGCGGUCCAGACAUUGAAGAAAACACAUCCCAUAAUGCACCUCCUAGCUGUGAGCGUUUGAAGGAAUGGAGUCCGAACACCAGCAGCCAAACGCAGUUGCCAUAGCUGCACCAUUACUUAUUAGGAUUGGCACUUUGUUUUCCACAUGGGAGGUCUGUUUUUAGAGAGAAUCUGUGGUGACAGCUUUAGUUUGGAACAGACAGCUGUGCUAUUUUUAAGGCCCUGCAAUGAUCUGUUUGGAA